Molecule: non-coding RNA, 107 nt
Organism: Capsicum annuum
Lineage: Eukaryota; Viridiplantae; Streptophyta; Magnoliopsida; Solanales; Solanaceae
Source: Rfam
UGCUGUUGAUGUGGACAAUCCUGAAGAAGAACUUUUAAUCUCUCCCAAGCAUGAUAUAAGUUCUUAUUUUCCCUUUGUUUGAAGCUCGCAAUCUCACUACGCAGUUU